This 329-nucleotide unclassified non-coding RNA is filed under the name soil metagenome. RNAcentral describes it as "partial contains 5.8S ribosomal RNA, internal transcribed spacer 2, and large subunit ribosomal RNA". The stretch from base 1 to 120 matches the Rfam family "5.8S ribosomal RNA", at positions 35 to 154 of the family's 154-position model. The record is from RNAcentral.
GAUGAAGAACGUAGCGAAAUGCGAUAAGUAGUGUGAAUUGCAGAAUUCAGUGAAUCAUCGAAUCUUUGAACGCACAUUGCGCCCCUUGGUAUCCCGAGGGGCAUGCCUGUUCGAGCGUCAUUUCACCACUCAAGCCUGGCUUGGUGUUGGGCGACGUCCUCUUUGGGGACGCGCCUCGAAACGCUCGGCGGCGUGGCACCGGCUUUAAGCGUAGCAGAAUCUUUCGCUUUGGAAGUCGGGGCCCCGUCUGCCGGAAGACCUGCUCGCAAGGUUGACCUCGGAUCAGGCAGGGAUACCCGCUGAACUUAAGCAUAUCAAUAAGCGGAGCA